UACGUAGGGGGCGAGCGUUGCCCGGAUUUAUUGGGCGUAAAGAGCGUGUAGGCGGCCAGGUAGGUCUGCUGUGAAAACCCGCAGCUCAACUGUGGGCUUGCAGCCGAUACGGGCGGGCUGGAGUUCGGUAGGGGAGACUGGAAUUCCUGGUGUAGCGGUGAAAUGCGCAGAUAUCAGGAGGAACACCGGUGGCGAAGGCGGGUCUCUGGGCCGAUACUGACGCUGAGGAGCGAAAGCGUGGGGAGCGAACAGG
Molecule: ribosomal RNA, 253 nt
Filed under: uncultured bacterium
Lineage: Bacteria
Description: partial 16S ribosomal RNA
Rfam family: Bacterial small subunit ribosomal RNA
Source: RNAcentral